This 695-nucleotide long non-coding RNA is filed under the name Parus major (Great Tit). RNAcentral's name for it is "lncRNA (ENSPMJG00000004147.1)". Lineage: Eukaryota; Metazoa; Chordata; Aves; Passeriformes; Paridae. The record is from RNAcentral.
GACAGUGACCCCAGGGGUGGUGACAAUGACCCCAGGGGUGGUGACAGUGACCCCAGGGAUGGUGACAGUGACCCCAGGGGUGGUGACAAUGACCCAGGAUUGAUGACAAUGACCAUGGGAUGGUGACAGUGACCCCAGGGAUGGUGACAAUGACCCCAGGGAUGGUGACAAUGACCAUGGGAUGGUGACAAUGACCCCAGGGAUGGUGACAAUGACCCUGAGAUUGAUGACAAUGACCCCAGGGAUGGUGACAGUGACCCCAGGGAUGGUGACAGUGACCAUGGGAUGGUGACAGUGACCCCAGGGGCGGUGACAAUGACCAUGGGGUGGUGACAAUGACCAUGGGGUGGUGACAAUGACCCAGGAUUGAUGACAAUGACCAUGGGAUGGUGACAAUGACCAUGGGAUGGUGACAAUGACCAUGGGAUGGUGACAGUGACCCCAGGGGCGGUGACAGGUGACAGUGCCCGGUGUCCCCGCAGUCCCUGGACCUGCACCGGCCCAUCGACAAGCGCGUCUACAAGGGCACCCAGCCCACCUGCCACGACUUCAACCAGUUCACGGCGGGCGCCGAGACCCUGGCGCUGCUGGUCGGCUUCUCGGCCGGGCAGGUGCAGUACCUGGACCUGGCCAAGAAGGACAGCGCCGGGCGGCUCUUCAACGAGGAGGUGAGGGGACAUUGGGGGCCACCAGGG